Molecule: ribosomal RNA, 581 nt
Filed under: Filobasidium uniguttulatum
Lineage: Eukaryota; Fungi; Basidiomycota; Tremellomycetes; Filobasidiales; Filobasidiaceae
Description: partial large subunit ribosomal RNA
Rfam family: Eukaryotic large subunit ribosomal RNA
Source: RNAcentral
CGGCGAGCGAAGCGGGAAGAGCUCAAAUUUGAAAUCUGGUGGCCUCAGGUCAUCCGAGUUGUAAUCUAUAGAAGUGUUUUCCGUGCUGGCCCAUGUACAAGUCCCUUGGAACAGGGCGUCAUAGAGGGUGAGAAUCCCGUCCUUGACAUGGACUACCAGUGCUCUGUGAUACACUUUCAACGAGUCGAGUUGUUUGGGAAUGCAGCUCAAAAUGGGUGGUAAAUUCCAUCUAAAGCUAAAUAUUGGCGAGAGACCGAUAGCGAACAAGUACCGUGAGGGAAAGAUGAAAAGCACUUUGGAAAGAGAGUUAAACAGUAUGUGAAAUUGUUGAAAGGGAAACGAUUGAAGUCAGUCGUGCUCAAUGGACUCAGCCGUUCUGCGGUGUAUUUCCAUUGGGUGGGGUCAACAUCAGUUUUGAUCGCUGGAUAAAGGCAGGAGGAAUGUAGCACCCCCGGGUGAACUUAUAGCCUCUUGUCACAUACAGUGGUUGGGACUGAGGAACGCAGCAUGCCUUUAUGGCCGGGAUUCGUCCACGUACAUGCUUAGGAUGUUGACAUAAUGGCUUUAAACGACCCGUCUUG